CCUACGGGAGGCAGCAGUGGGGAAUAUUGGGCAAUGGGCGCAAGCCUGACCCAGCAACGCCGCGUGAAGGAAGAAGGCCCUCGGGUUGUAAACUUCUUUUAACAGGGACGAAGAAAGUGACGGUACCUGGUGAAGAAGCAACGGCUAACUACGUGCCAGCAGCCGCGGUAAAACGUAGGUGGCAAGCGUUAUCCGGAUUUACGGGGUGUAAAGGGCGUGGAGGCGGGAGAGCAAGUCAGACUUGAAAUUCCAGGGCUCAACCCUUGAACUGCUUUUGAUACUGUUCUUCUUGAGGGAGGGAGAGGCCGGCGGCAUUCCGUCUGUAGCGGUGAUAUGCGUAGAUAUACGGCGGAACCCCAGUGGCGAAGGCGGCCUGCUGGACAUUAACUGACGCUGCGGCGC
Molecule: ribosomal RNA, 402 nt
Filed under: uncultured bacterium
Lineage: Bacteria
Description: partial 16S ribosomal RNA
Rfam family: Bacterial small subunit ribosomal RNA
Source: RNAcentral